RNAcentral lists this transfer RNA (86 nucleotides) under Armatimonadota bacterium. RNAcentral's name for it is "Armatimonadetes bacterium (activated sludge metagenome) tRNA-Leu". It matches the Rfam family "tRNA". From Rfam's summary of the family: Transfer RNA (tRNA) molecules are approximately 80 nucleotides in length. Their secondary structure includes four short double-helical elements and three loops (D, anti-codon, and T loops). Lineage: Bacteria; Bacillati; Armatimonadota. The record is from RNAcentral.
GCCGAGGUGGCGGAAUUGGUAGACGCGCUGGAUUCAGGAUCCAGUGUUCUUAACCGGACGUGCGGGUUCGAGUCCCGCCCUCGGCA